UACGUAGGUGGCAAGCGUUAUCCGGAUUUACUGGGUGUAAAGGGCGUGUAGGCGGGAUUACAAGUCAGAUGUGAAAACUAUGGGCUCAACCCAUAGCCUGCAUUUGAAACUGUAGUUCUUGAGUGAUGGAGAGGCAGACGGAAUUCCUCGUGUAGCGGUGAAAUGCGUAGAUAUGAGGAGGAACACCAGUGGCGAAGGCGGUCUGCUGGACAUUAACUGACGCUGAGGCGCGAAAGCGUGGGGAGCAAACAGGAUUAGAUACCCUGGUAGUCCACGCUGUAAACGAUGGAUACUAGGUGUGGGGGGACUGACCCCCUCCGUGCCGGAGUUAACACAAUAAGUAUCCCACCUGGGGAGUACGAUCGCAAGGUUGAA
Molecule: ribosomal RNA, 375 nt
Filed under: uncultured bacterium
Lineage: Bacteria
Description: bacterial SSU rRNA
Rfam family: Bacterial small subunit ribosomal RNA
Source: RNAcentral